CUAUACAUGCAAGUCGAACGGUGUCUUCGGACAUAGUGGCGCACGGGUGCGUAACACGUAUGCAACCUACCUUACAUUGGGGGAUAGCCUUUCGAAAGGGAGAUUAAUACCGCAUAAGACAGUAACUAGGCAUCUAGUAGCUGUUAAAGAUUUAUCGAUGUAAGCUGGGCAUGCGACCAAUUAGCUAGUUGGUGAGGUAAUGGCUCACCAAGGCUAUGAUUGGUAGGGGAACUGAGAGGUCAAUCCCCCACACUGGCACUGAGAUACGGGCCAGACUCCUACGGGAGGCAGCAGUAGGGAAUAUUGGGCAAUGGACGCAAGUCUGACCCAGCCAUGCCGCGUGCAGGAUGAAGGCGUUAUGCGUUGUAAACUGCUUUUAUACAGGAAGAAACGACUCUUGCGAGAGGCAUUGACGGUACUGUAUGAAUAAGCACCGGCUAACUCCGUGCCAGCAGCCGCGGUAAUACGGAGGGUGCAAGCGUUGUCCGGAUUUAUUGGGUUUAAAGGGUGCGCAGGUGGUUUAUUAAGUCAGUGGUGAAAGACGGUCGCUCAACGAUUGCAGUGCCAUUGAAACUGGUAGACUUGAGUAAAGUAGAGGUGGGCGGAAUUGAUAGUGUAGCGGUGAAAUGCAUAGAUAUUAUCAAGAACUCCAAUUGCGUAGGCAGCUCACUUGGCUUUUACUGACACUCAUGCACGAAAGUGUGGGUAUCAAACAGGAUUAGAUACCCUGGUAGUCCACACUGUAAACGAUGAUAACUAGGUGUCGGCCGAAUCUGGUCGGUGCCACAGCGAAAGCGUUAAGUUAUCCACCUGGGGAGUACGCCGGCAACGGUGAAACUCAAAGGAAUUGACGAGGGUCCGCACAAGCGGUGGAGCAUGUGGUUUAAUUCGAUGAUACGCGAGG
This 904-nucleotide ribosomal RNA is filed under the name uncultured Flexibacteraceae bacterium. RNAcentral describes it as "bacterial SSU rRNA". It matches the Rfam family "Bacterial small subunit ribosomal RNA", at positions 49 to 966 of the family's 1533-position model. The record is from RNAcentral. Lineage: Bacteria; Pseudomonadati; Bacteroidota; Cytophagia; Cytophagales; Cytophagaceae.